UAAUAGACUCGUAUAAGACGAAAUUAAAAAUUAUUUGUAUUGGUUGAAUGGGAGUGUGUGAAAGGAAAGUGCCCAAAAUGGGGGUGAAUGAACGGGUGAAUGAAUGAUGGAAGAGAAAAGAAAGUACGUUUGGGUUUAGCAGGAGGUCAAGGAUGGGGCCCAUGCGGUUUUGUGGAGGUCCUUAAAGAUUAGAUUUAAAAAAUAAAAAUAAAAAUAAAAUUAAAAAAAAAAAAAAAAAAGAAAGGGGGAAAGAAGAAGGAAAUUAAGGCAGUCAAAUAGGUAUACGUACAUAAACACAAAAACAGUUUCAAGAGGUGGUUUUUCUUUCGUGGUUUGUUUCCUCUGAGGCAGCAAAUGAUGUGAGCUGCGCAAAAGCUCAGCCAAGAAACAAUUAAUAUGAAAGCAGGCCAGUCCCGGUCUGCACCGUAAACAAAACUGAAAGGAGUUAUUUCUCUAUAAACCUAACGUUUCACACCUUUGAUUUGGUCAGAAUUAAUAUUCAACCAAAAACUAUUCUUACCAAAAACUAUUCUUCUUCUCUACCUCACCUCUCUCUCUCUCUCUCUCUCUCUCUAUAUAUAUAUAUAUGUAUAUAUAUAUAUAUAUAUCUUUCUUUCUCAAACUAUAUGUGACCCACCACCAUAUUCCAAAAAGCCAUCUCUUUCUCUCUCUGGUCGGAGAAAUUAUUAAUGUGAUCAGUAUCUCUCUCUUUGUUUGCUCUUCCUCUGUCUUCUUAGUGAGAGAGGUCCAUGUAUGGAUGGAGCUUUGACCAAGUGCUACUUCUAAUUAAAUCAUAUGUAUGAAGAAGAAGAAGAAGAAGAUGAAAAAGAAGAUGAAGUUGGAAAAACGGUUUCCAAUAUUUGACGGAGGGGAUAGUGCAUGGUUUAUAAAAUAAAGAUCUUGGCGCGGUUCAAUUUGAGGACAUGGUUAAUGGAGUAAAUUAGCCACGCCAUUUGAUUGAGCCGCGUCAAUAUCUCCUUUUGCACCUUUCUCCAUCCUCUCCUCUCCUGCAUCAUUCUUGGUACCGUAUAGGGAAAAUAAUAGGACAAAGAAGAGAAGUAGAAACAAUGAAAAUGAUGGAGACACUGGGGGUGGUGGGAACAGACAGUUAAUGAAGGAAUCGUCCAAACGCUUUCAGAGGACCUGUAGAUGGUGAAGAGGGAAUCAUAACUGCAAAUGCUAGUUGGGGCCUAGUCCCAUUUUUUAUUAUUAUUUAUUAUUUAUAACAUUUUUUUUUUUUCAGUUUGAAUGCAUUAAAUGUUCAAUCACCUGCACUAAUCUGAAAAUUUCUACAACUUGUCUCUUUUGGUGGAAUACUUAUUCAAACACAACACCAAUUGGGUUUUCUUUUUCCCAUCUUGGUUAAUUGAAUCACUGUUUAUAGACGGGUA
Ziziphus jujuba (common jujube) is the source of this 1391-nucleotide long non-coding RNA. RefSeq lists it as uncharacterized. The record is from RefSeq and is a predicted model, not a curated record. The transcript is spliced from 2 exons. Lineage: Eukaryota; Viridiplantae; Streptophyta; Magnoliopsida; Rosales; Rhamnaceae.